Molecule: ribosomal RNA, 483 nt
Filed under: uncultured bacterium
Lineage: Bacteria
Description: partial 16S ribosomal RNA
Rfam family: Bacterial small subunit ribosomal RNA
Source: RNAcentral
AUUGAACGCUAGCGGGAUGCUUUACACAUGCCAGUCGAACGGCAGCGCGGACUUCGGUCUGGCGGCGAGUGGCGAACGGGUGAGUAAUGUAUCGGAACGUGCCCAGUAGCGGGGGAUAACUACGCGAAAGCGUAGCUAAUACCGCAUACGCCCUACGGGGGAAAGCAGGGGAUCGUAAGACCUUGCACUAUUGGAGCGGCCGAUAUCGGAUUAGCUAGUUGGUGAGGUAACGGCUCACCAAGGCGACGAUCCGUAGCUGGUUUGAGAGGACGACCAGCCACACUGGGACUGAGACACGGCCCAGACUCCUACGGGAGGCAGCAGUGGGGAAUUUUGGACAAUGGGGGCAACCCUGAUCCAGCCAUCCCGCGUGUGCGAUGAAGGCCUUCGGGUUGUAAAGCACUUUUGGCAGGAAAGAAACGUCGCGGGCUAAUACCCCGUGGAACUGACGGUACCUGCAGAAUAAGCACCGGCUAACUACGU